GACGAACGCUGGCGGCGUGCUUAACACAUGCAAGUCGAGCGGUAAGGCCCUUUCGGGGGUACGACGAGCGGCGAACGGGUGAGUAACACGUGGGUGACCUGCCCUCAGCUCUGGGAUAAGCCUGGGAAACCGGGUCUAAUACUGGAUAUGACUCCAUGACGCAUGUUGUGGGGUGGAAAGCCUUGUGCGGCUGAGGAUGGGCCCGCGGCCUAUCAGCUUGUUGGUGGGGUGANGGCCUACCAAGGCGACGACGGGUAGCCGGCCUGAGAGGGCGACCGGCCACACUGGGACUGAGACACGGCCCAGACUCCUACGGGAGGCAGCAGUGGGGAAGUCUUGCGCAAUGGGCGAAAGCCUGACGCAGCGACGCCGCGUGAGGGAUGACGGCCUC
This 391-nucleotide ribosomal RNA is filed under the name uncultured bacterium. RNAcentral's name for it is "bacterial SSU rRNA". It matches the Rfam family "Bacterial small subunit ribosomal RNA", at positions 28 to 418 of the family's 1533-position model. The record is from RNAcentral.